RNAcentral lists this unclassified non-coding RNA (367 nucleotides) under fungal sp. Its description in RNAcentral is "partial internal transcribed spacer region". The stretch from base 1 to 46 matches the Rfam family "Eukaryotic small subunit ribosomal RNA", at positions 1786 to 1831 of the family's 1831-position model. The record is from RNAcentral. Lineage: Eukaryota; Fungi.
AAGUCGUAACAAGGUUUCCGUAGGUGAACCUGCGGAAGGAUCAUUACAAAUGAACUCUUCGUAUAGGGAGUUACAUUCCUAUCCACUUUGUGUGCACAAUUAUUUGUUACCUGGCAGGCGUUGGCUGAAAAGUUAACAGUUUCUUCUUUGGGAAAAUGAGAAUUAACGAUUGCAAGGUCUCGCUUUUUGAGGAUUCGGCGAAAGUCGCAAUUUUCAGGGCGCCCUUUAUCUGCUUUCCCUUCCCGAUUUCGAAUCAACCUGCCAGUGGCUUCGGCCAAAUAAACCUGUCUUUUUUUUACAGUCUGAAGUCUUUUUAUUUAAAAAACAAAAUAAAAAACAACUUUUAGCAACGGAUCUCUUGGUUCUC